RNAcentral lists this unclassified non-coding RNA (269 nucleotides) under plant metagenome. Its description in RNAcentral is "partial contains small subunit ribosomal RNA, internal transcribed spacer 1, and 5.8S ribosomal RNA". The record is from RNAcentral.
UUUCCGUAGGUGAACCUGCGGAAGGAUCAUUAAUGAGUUGUCAUGGGGUUCGAUGCUGGCAGCCAAUUUUUGGAUGCAUGUGCUUGCCCUAACAAUCAUCUUCCAAACACCUGUGCACAUUUGUAAGGGAGUCUUGAGUUGGUUGCCGCUCUUGGGUGAUUUUCUCACAUUCCCUUAAAUCAUUAUACGCUAUUAACAAUGUUGAACGUGCUCUGUGCCGCAAGGCUAUUAAUAUAAUACAACUUUUAACAACGGAUCUCUUGGCUCUC